Molecule: long non-coding RNA, 545 nt
Filed under: Dromaius novaehollandiae (emu)
Lineage: Eukaryota; Metazoa; Chordata; Aves; Casuariiformes; Dromaiidae
Description: lncRNA (ENSDNVG00000013358.1)
Source: RNAcentral
AAAUAGAUGUCGUGGGUCGGAUCCUGAGCUGGCGUAAACGAAGAGAGUUCCACAGUCGGAAAUGGAAUCGAUGGGAUAGUGCCAGCUGCGGAUGGCUCCCUUUCUAGGAGACAAACCAUUCAGCAGGUCCCUCAGCAUCCUCUGCAGCUCAGCAGAGCGGAUCUCCCUAAGAGGCUUUCAGAUGCUUUAUCUUCCUGGGAAUCACAAUAAACCAGGCAUGUGUGAACCAAGCCCAGACUAUCAGGUGGAAGAAUCGAUGGCUUUUCCUUUGGCUGCUUGUGCAGGAAGAAGACAGCUGUGGUCUUUACAAGCCCUUGACAAGUGAUUUUUCCAACAAUCGGAUGGGAGAACGUGCUCUGUUACGUUUAUAAUUGACAAUAUACCACCGUUGAAGUAUGCCUGUCAGUUCUGCAGGUAGGUAAAAUUAUAUCAUAUAGAUAUUUUAUAACAGUUUUCACAGGCAGCAUCUGAAACCACGUCCUCCCCCCAGCAGAUGAAAGGUUAGAGGAAAGCACGUGUCAGCAGAAUCUAGCCUUCGGUCUCAG